GAUGAACGCUGGCGGCGUGCCUAAUACAUGCAAGUCGAGCGAACAGACGAGGAGCUUGCUCCUCUGACGUUAGCGGCGGACGGGUGAGUAACACGUGGAUAACCUACCUAUAAGACUGGGAUAACUUCGGGAAACCGGAGCCAAUACCGGAUAAUAUAUUGAACCGCAUGGUUCAAUAGUGAAAGACGGUUUUGCUGUCACUUAUAGAUGGAUCCGCGCCGCAUUAGCUAGUUGGUAAGGUAACGGCUUACCAAGGCAACGAUGCGUAGCCGACCUGAGAGGGUGAUCGGCCACACUGGAACUGAGACACGGUCCAGACUCCUACGGGAGGCAGCAGUAGGGAAUCUUCCGCAAUGGGCGAAAGCUUGACGGAGCAACGCCGCGUGAGUGAUGAAGGUCUUCGGAUCGUAAAACUCUGUUAUUAGGGAAGAACAAAUGUGUAAGUAACUAUGCACGUCUUGACGGUACCUAAUCAGAAAGCCACGGCUAACUACGUG
This 497-nucleotide ribosomal RNA is filed under the name uncultured bacterium. Its description in RNAcentral is "partial 16S ribosomal RNA". It matches the Rfam family "Bacterial small subunit ribosomal RNA", at positions 28 to 507 of the family's 1533-position model. The record is from RNAcentral.